RNAcentral lists this transfer RNA (72 nucleotides) under Microbacterium sp. CH1. RNAcentral describes it as "tRNA-Gly". The record is from RNAcentral. Lineage: Bacteria; Bacillati; Actinomycetota; Actinomycetes; Micrococcales; Microbacteriaceae.
GGGCCUCCAGGGCGAGCCGUGGGUCUGCUUCCCAAGCAGACAGCGCGGGUUCGAUUCCCGUCAGCCCCUCCA